This 228-nucleotide ribosomal RNA is filed under the name uncultured bacterium. RNAcentral's name for it is "partial 16S ribosomal RNA". It matches the Rfam family "Bacterial small subunit ribosomal RNA", at positions 568 to 796 of the family's 1533-position model. The record is from RNAcentral.
UGCGUAGGUGGCCUGACAAGUCAGAGGUGAAAGGCUACGGCUUAACCGUAGUAAGCCUUUGAAACUGACAGGCUUGAGUGCAGGAGAGGAAAGUGGAAUUCCUAGUGUAGCGGUGAAAUGCGUAGAUAUUAGGAGGAACACCAGUGGCGAAGGCGACUUUCUGGACUGUAACUGACACUGAGGCACGAAAGCGUGGGGAGCGAACAGGAUUAGAUACCCUGGUAGUCC